RNAcentral lists this non-coding RNA (30 nucleotides) under Rattus norvegicus (Norway rat). The record is from RNAcentral. Lineage: Eukaryota; Metazoa; Chordata; Mammalia; Rodentia; Muridae.
UAGCCAUGAGAUCUGGCAAGAUUGGGUUGU